Molecule: transfer RNA, 76 nt
Filed under: Gymnothorax miliaris (goldentail moray)
Lineage: Eukaryota; Metazoa; Chordata; Actinopteri; Anguilliformes; Muraenidae
Also listed under: 1 other name
Description: tRNA-Leu
Rfam family: tRNA
About the family: Transfer RNA (tRNA) molecules are approximately 80 nucleotides in length. Their secondary structure includes four short double-helical elements and three loops (D, anti-codon, and T loops).
Source: RNAcentral
GCUAAGGUGGCAGAGCCCGGUAAUUGCAAAAGGCCUAAGCCCUUUCCAUCGGAGGUUCAAAUCCUCUCCUUCAGCU